GACGUAGAACGCCCACACUGUGACUAAAAUAAAGCCCAGACUCCUACGGGAGACAGCAGUGGGGAAUUGUUCGCAAUGGGCGCAAGCCUGACGACGCAACGCCGCGUGGAGGAUGAAGAUCUUCGGGUCGUAAACUCCUGUCGAGCGGGAAGAACACCUUUCGGGCGAAUAUCCCGAGGGGCUGACGGUACCGCUAAAGGAAGCCCCGGCUAACUCCGUGCCAGCAGCCGCGGUAAUACGGGGGGGGCAAGCGUUGUUCGGAAUUACUGGGCGUAAAGGGCUCGUAGGCGGCCAACUAAGUCAGGCGUGAAAUCCCCAGGCUCAACCUGGGAACUGCGUCUGAUACUGGAUGGCUUGAAUUCGGGAGAGGGAUGCAGAAUUCCAGGUGUAGCGGUGAAAUGCGUAGAUAUCUGGAGGAAUACCGGUGGCGAAGGCGGCAUCCUGGACCGACAUUGACGCUGAGGAGCGAAAGCUAGGGGAGCAAACGGGAUUAGAUACCCCGGUAGUCCUAGCCCUAAACGAUGAAUGCUUGGUGUAACGGGUAUCGAUCCCUGUUGUGCCGAAGCUAACGCAUUAAGCACCCCGCCUGGGGAGUACGGCCGCAAGGCUGAAACUCAAAAGAAUUGACGGGGGCCCGCACAAGCGGUGGAGCAAAUGGUUUAAUUCGAAGCAACGCGAAGAACCUUACCUGGGCUUGACAUGCAUGUGAAAGCCUCGUGAAAGCGGGGCCCUCCUUCGGGACGCAUGCACAGGUGCUGCAUGGCUGUCGUCAGCUCGUGUCGUGAGAUGUUGGGUUAAGUCCCGCAUCUUAUGCAAGCGUGGGCGACUGUUGCCAGCGGAGGAGCCAUCCUCCCGGGGACUCAUGGGAGACUGCCGGGGUCAACUCGGAGGAAGGUGGGGAGGACGUCAAAUCAUCAUGCCCCUUAUGUCUUGGGGUUCACCCAUGCUACAAUGGCCGGUACA
RNAcentral lists this ribosomal RNA (963 nucleotides) under uncultured bacterium. RNAcentral describes it as "bacterial SSU rRNA". It matches the Rfam family "Bacterial small subunit ribosomal RNA", at positions 296 to 1241 of the family's 1533-position model. The record is from RNAcentral.